CAUGUCUAUAUGUUUGUUAUAUAUAUAGUCGGCUCUGCUCACUGAAUUUAUUUUAAAGAGCUGCGGUAACUUGACCGUGCGAAGGUAGCAUAAUCAAUUGCUCUUUAAUUGGGGGCUUGUAUGAACGAGUUGACGAGGGUAGGCCUGUUUAUAUUAUUAUUUAGAAUUUGACCUUUAAUUGAAAAGGAUUAAAUAUAGUAAGGGGGCGAUAAGACCCUAUAAAAUUUUAUAAUUAAUUAAUUUCUGUUAGAUUCUUUAAAUAACAUAAUUUAUAUAUUAUUGGGCUGGGGUGGCUCGAAUAUAAUUGUAACUGUUUUUGAUUUGUUAUAAUUAUCAUUAGAUUUAGAUCCCUCAGGGGAAUAAGAUUAAAUUACUUUAGGGAUAACAGCGUAAUAAUUUCUUAGAGUUGAUAUCGAUGAUAUUAGUUGCGACCUCGAUGUUGAAUUAAGGUUACACUUAGGGGCAGAUUUUUAAAUUGUGGGUCUGUUCGACCUAUAAAACCUUACAUGAUUUGAGUUCAAGCCGGUGUGAGCCAGGUUGGUUU
RNAcentral lists this ribosomal RNA (544 nucleotides) under Ogyrides alphaerostris. RNAcentral describes it as "partial large subunit ribosomal RNA". It matches the Rfam family "Bacterial large subunit ribosomal RNA", at positions 1890 to 2637 of the family's 2925-position model. The record is from RNAcentral. Lineage: Eukaryota; Metazoa; Arthropoda; Malacostraca; Decapoda; Ogyrididae.